Molecule: transfer RNA, 73 nt
Filed under: Bos taurus (domestic cattle)
Lineage: Eukaryota; Metazoa; Chordata; Mammalia; Artiodactyla; Bovidae
Also listed under: 5 other names
Rfam family: tRNA
About the family: Transfer RNA (tRNA) molecules are approximately 80 nucleotides in length.
Source: Rfam by way of RNAcentral
UCCCUGGUGGUCCAGUGGUUAAGAAUCCAUGCUUCCAAAGCACGGGGUCUGGGUUCAGUCCCUGGUCAGGGAA